This 466-nucleotide ribosomal RNA is filed under the name uncultured bacterium. Its description in RNAcentral is "partial 16S ribosomal RNA". It matches the Rfam family "Bacterial small subunit ribosomal RNA", at positions 28 to 507 of the family's 1533-position model. The record is from RNAcentral.
GAUGAACGCUGGCGGCGUGCUUAACACAUGCAAGUCGAACGGAAAGGCCAGUGCUUGCACUGGUACUCGAGUGGCGAACGGGUGAGUAACACGUGGGUGAUCUGCCCUGUACUUCGGGAUAAGCUUGGGAAACUGGGUCUAAUACCGGAUAGGACAACUUUUUGGAUAUUGUUGUGGAAAGCUUUUGCGGUAUGGGAUGAGCUCGCGGCCUAUCAGCUUGUUGGUGGGGUAAUGGCCUACCAAGGCGUCGACGGGUAGCCGGCCUGAGAGGGUGUACGGCCACAUUGGGACUGAGAUACGGCCCAGACUCCUACGGGAGGCAGCAGUGGGGAAUAUUGCACAAUGGGCGGAAGCCUGAUGCAGCGACGCCGCGUGGGGGAUGAAGGCCUUCGGGUUGUAAACUCCUUUCGCUAGGGACGAAGCGUAAGUGACGGUACCUGGAGAAGAAGCACCGGCUAACUACGUG